CCUACGGGAGGCAGCAGUGAGGAAUAUUGGUCAAUGGGCGAGAGCCUGAACCAGCCAAGUAGCGUGCAGGAUGACGGCCCUAUGGGUUGUAAACUGCUUUUGUAUGGGGAUAAAGUCAAUCACGUGUGAUUGUUUGCAGGUACCAUACGAAUAAGGACCGGCUAAUUCCGUGCCAGCAGCCGCGGUAAUACGGAAGGUCCGGGCGUUAUCCGGAUUUAUUGGGUUUAAAGGGAGCGUAGGCUGGAGAUUAAGUGUGUUGUGAAAUGUAGACGCUCAACGUCUGAAUUGCAGCGCAUACUGGUUUCCUUGAGUACGCACAACGUUGGCGGAAUUCGUCGUGUAGCGGUGAAAUGCUUAGAUAUGACGAAGAACUCCGAUUGCGAAGGCAGCUGACGGGAGCGCAACUGACGCUUAAGCUCGAAGGUGCGGGUAUCAAACAGGAUUAGAUACCCUUGUAGUC
This 460-nucleotide ribosomal RNA is filed under the name uncultured Prevotella sp. Its description in RNAcentral is "bacterial SSU rRNA". It matches the Rfam family "Bacterial small subunit ribosomal RNA", at positions 338 to 795 of the family's 1533-position model. The record is from RNAcentral. Lineage: Bacteria; Pseudomonadati; Bacteroidota; Bacteroidia; Bacteroidales; Prevotellaceae.